GAUGAAGAACGUAGCGAAAUGCGAUAAUUAAUGUGAAUUGCAGAAUUCCGUGAAUCAUCGAGUCUUUGAACGCGCAUUGCGCCUCAUGGCAUUCCGUGAGGCAUGCCCAUCUCAGCGUUAGAAAAUAUUCUCAAAUUUUAGUUUUGUGCUAAAAUUUGGAUCAUGUCAAGGAAGCUAUUACUAUUAUUGUGAUCGCUCUUUGGAAAUUGAUAGGUCUUUGAGUUGCUACUCAUAGAACGUGAUGAAUCUUUCUUCGUUCUAUUGUCAUUCACUCUGGUAGUCCUAAAACUUGUAUGCCUGUGGCAUAUCUUGUAAUUUGACCUGAGAUUGGGUAGGGAUACCCGCUGAACUUAAGCAUAUCAAUAAGCGGAGGA
Molecule: unclassified non-coding RNA, 374 nt
Filed under: soil metagenome
Description: partial contains internal transcribed spacer 2 and large subunit ribosomal RNA
Rfam family: 5.8S ribosomal RNA (bases 1-120)
Source: RNAcentral